UUUUCAGCACAAAUGGGUAUCUUAGAAGGACGCUCGGAAGGUCUGAGAAGCACUCUCCACUCCAUGGGAAUUGGAGCAGGUGUGCAAGCCUUAGGUCAGAGGUGCCUGCUUAUCUGCACCUGACAACACUUCUCCACUCUGGCUCCAUGAGCCCCGAAGUUUUGAAAUCAGCAUCUGAGUCCGUCAUGCAGCUUGUCUCAGGACGUCAGUGCUCCAAGAAGGCAGCAGUUUCCUUGGUGGUGGAGUCAGAAGGAGAGUCUUUGGGAAUUCUCCUGUAUAGAGGCAUGCUGGUGGCUUCAGGGGGCUUGGCGGACAUCA
This is a long non-coding RNA of Mustela erminea (ermine), 318 nucleotides long. RefSeq lists it as uncharacterized. Lineage: Eukaryota; Metazoa; Chordata; Mammalia; Carnivora; Mustelidae. The transcript is spliced from 3 exons. The record is from RefSeq and is a predicted model, not a curated record.